GCCUUACAACCUGGAUAGCUCAGUUGGUUAGAAUGUGGUGCUGAUGAUGCCAAGGUUGCAGGUUCAAUUCCCGUAUGGGACA
RNAcentral lists this transfer RNA (82 nucleotides) under Podarcis lilfordi (Lilford's wall lizard). Its description in RNAcentral is "tRNA.Ile". The record is from RNAcentral. Lineage: Eukaryota; Metazoa; Chordata; Lepidosauria; Squamata; Lacertidae.